Molecule: long non-coding RNA, 147 nt
Organism: Helianthus annuus (common sunflower)
Lineage: Eukaryota; Viridiplantae; Streptophyta; Magnoliopsida; Asterales; Asteraceae
Exons: 3
Source: RefSeq, a predicted model, not a curated record
AAACCACAUGGCCGUUCACGAGGUUUUGGGUUUGUUUCUUUCCGGACCCAACAGGAUGCUCAAAGUGCUAUAAAUGACUUAACUGGGAAGUGGCUUGGCAGUAGGCAGAUCCGGUGCAAUUGGGCUACCAAAGGUGCUGGCACUAGC